CCACACCACACACUUCAAGCUUAAUACAACUCUCCACUUGCUACAACCAGAGAGAGAGAGAGAGACAGAGAGAGAGAAUCCAUGGUGACACAAGGAAAGAGCAUCAAAUUUAGCAGAAGAGGAAUGGUGUCCCUGAGAAGGAGGCGGCCGUUCCAGCUCAUGGUGCUGAGGCGCCUCCGGGAGCUCAAGAAGAUUGUGCCGGUGGGUGCUCGUCGCAAGGCUGACGUUGACGCAGUGCUCCGGCAAACCGCCGAGUACAUCUGCGCGCUAGAGCUGAAGGUGGCCAUCUUGCGGAGGCUCUCAGACAUCUACGGCGUGUAGAGCGAGCUCUGGUGAAGGCAGUCGAUCGUUUGCAUGCCAAUCACCACUGCACAUGUAAGAGGGAAGAGAGAACCUAGCUACAUUUCUUGCCAUGGCCAUCUCUGUUCAACUCCUCCCUACCACCCACCAAAGUAGUAGCAUAUUGUGCCACUGCCUCCCCUAUGUGAUUGGUUGGUCGCAUAUGGAAGUGUGUCUAUUAGUUAAAUCUGGCUGGAAAAGCCAGCCCUUUUAUCCAGCUGAUUGCAAGAAAAUGCUUUGAUUGGUGGUUGUCGAUAGGCUAGCUGGUCUGCAUGCAUGGUUCAUGUAUUUCAUUUGUUUGUAUGUGUCGGUGUGUGUACAAUGGAUUUUUGCAUAGCU
RNAcentral lists this long non-coding RNA (678 nucleotides) under Setaria viridis. Its description in RNAcentral is "long non-coding RNA (SVIR_LNC007357)". Lineage: Eukaryota; Viridiplantae; Streptophyta; Magnoliopsida; Poales; Poaceae. The record is from RNAcentral.